Long non-coding RNA from Panicum virgatum (switchgrass), 717 nucleotides. RefSeq lists it as uncharacterized. NCBI's taxonomy places the organism in Eukaryota, Viridiplantae, Streptophyta, Magnoliopsida, Poales, Poaceae. The transcript has 2 exons. The record is from RefSeq and is a predicted model, not a curated record.
GCAUGGAAUACAAAACCGCUCGAUAAUCGCGAUUAUCGGUGAAAUUUAUCGUUACCGAUGCUAGCUGAAAACGUAAACCGACUGGAAUUUCGCUGGAUUUCAAUGGAAAAUUCAAAAAUUUAAAAAAAUUCAUAAAAAGUAGAGAACUUAUUUUUAUAAAAAACUAGACAUUCUCUUGAUUCCAGAAUGUUGUCACAUGUUGAAAGCAACAAUUGUUUGUUUAGGGAAAAAUAUUUUUUUCGAUGAUGCUGCAGCUGGGAGCGAGGGAGCUGUGCUCGUGGCGUCGAUAAUCGAGGUGAAUGUCUGAUAAUCAGGACUUACUUUGGGAACAUGGAGAGAAGAUUAGCAUUGGCUUCAAGUGCAAGUAUUAUCGUGUUGAAAAGGUGGAGGAGGGGCAACCCAUGCCACACAAAAUCAUGGUCAACCCAUGUCACAACGGAGGACGACAAGCAACCGACGUCGAUCUGAUCCUCGGGAAGGUGAUAGCUCCAGCUCAGUAAGUUCAACCUUCAGCUAUCCACGUCCACCCUCCUACCCAUAUCCAUACCCACAACCAUACCCAUAUCCGUACCCACAACCAUAUUCACACCCACCACCAUAUCCAAGCCACUUCAUUCAACUACCGGUACAUCUUGACAUGAGCACUAGUGGUCAGAUUGGUGAAUUACAGAUAUGUAUGUAUCUAUAUUACAAUUUCAUCAUUAUGUGUUCCCCUCU